RNAcentral lists this ribosomal RNA (274 nucleotides) under uncultured bacterium. Its description in RNAcentral is "partial 16S ribosomal RNA". It matches the Rfam family "Bacterial small subunit ribosomal RNA", at positions 523 to 796 of the family's 1533-position model. The record is from RNAcentral.
AUACGGAGGGUGCAAGCGUUACUCGGAAUCACUGGGCGUAAAGAGUAUGUAGGCGGUUUGGUAAGUCAGGUGUGAAAUCCCGAAGCUCAACUUCGGAACUGCAUCCGAUACUGCUAGACUUGAGUAAUGGAGAGGCAGGUGGAAUUCUCGGUGUAGCAGUGAAAUGCGUGGAUAUCGAGAGGAAGACCAAUGGCGAAGGCAGCCUGCUGGACAUUUACUGACGCUGAGAUACGAAGGCUAGGGUAGCGAAAGGGAUUAGAAACCCCGGUAGUCC